AGAGUUUGAUCAUGGCUCAGGAUGAACGCUAGCGGCAGGCUUAAUACAUGCAAGUCGAGGGGCAGCGCGGGUAGCAAUACCUGGCGGCGACCGGCAAACGGGUGCGGAACACGUACGCAACCUUCCUUUAAGUGGGGGAUAGCCCAGGGAAACUUGGAUUAAUACCUCGUAAUAUGAUUGGGUGGCAUCACUUGAUCAUU
RNAcentral lists this ribosomal RNA (200 nucleotides) under uncultured bacterium. Its description in RNAcentral is "partial 16S ribosomal RNA". It matches the Rfam family "Bacterial small subunit ribosomal RNA", at positions 8 to 202 of the family's 1533-position model. The record is from RNAcentral.